GUGCAGCAGGCGAGAAUUUUUCACAAUGGGGGAAACCCUGAUGGAGCGACGCCGCGUGGAGGAUGAAGGCGUUUUCGUCGUAAACUCCUGUCAUGCGAGAACAAGAAAGUGAUAGUAUCGCAAGAGGAAGAGACGGCUAACUCUGUGCCAGCAGCCGCGGUAAUACAGAGGUCUCAAGCGUUGUUCGGAUUCAUUGGGCGUAAAGGGUGCGUAGGUGGCAUGGUAAGUUGAAGGUGAAAUCACGGAGCUCAACUCCGAAACUGCCUUCAAUACUGCUGUGCUUGGGAGCUGUAGAGGAGAAUGGAAUUCACGGUGUAGCAGUGAAAUGCGUAGAUAUCGUGAGGAAGACCAGUGGCGAAGGCGAUUCUCUGGGCAGUUUCUGACACUGAGGCACGAAGGCUAGGGGAGCAAACGGGAUUAGAUACCCGUGUAGU
RNAcentral lists this ribosomal RNA (434 nucleotides) under uncultured organism. RNAcentral describes it as "bacterial SSU rRNA". It matches the Rfam family "Bacterial small subunit ribosomal RNA", at positions 346 to 794 of the family's 1533-position model. The record is from RNAcentral.